CAAUAGCGUAUAUUAAAGUUGUUGCAGUUAAAAAGCUCGUAGUUGGAUUUCUGGUGGGAGCGAUCGGUCUGGCGCUUAGCGCGAGUACUUGCAUCGUCUCCGGCCAUCCUUGGGGAGAGUCUGUCUGGCAUUAGGUUGUCGGGCAGAGGAUCCUCAUCGUUUACUGUGAAAAAAUUAGAGUGUUCAAAGCAGGCUUAUGCCGUUGAAUAUGUUAGCAUGGAAUAAUAAGAUAGGACUUUGGUACUAUUUUGUUGGUUUGCGCACCAAAGUAAUGAUUAAUAGGGACAGUUGGGGGUAUUCGUAUUCCGUUGUCAGAGGUGAAAUUCUUGGAUUUACGGAAGACGAUCUACUGCGAAAGCAUUUACCAAGGAUGUUUUCAUUAA
This 383-nucleotide ribosomal RNA is filed under the name uncultured eukaryote. RNAcentral's name for it is "partial 18S ribosomal RNA". It matches the Rfam family "Eukaryotic small subunit ribosomal RNA", at positions 592 to 976 of the family's 1831-position model. The record is from RNAcentral.